RNAcentral lists this unclassified non-coding RNA (244 nucleotides) under Borreliella valaisiana. Its description in RNAcentral is "partial 16S-23S ribosomal RNA intergenic spacer". Lineage: Bacteria; Pseudomonadati; Spirochaetota; Spirochaetia; Spirochaetales; Borreliaceae. The record is from RNAcentral.
UUUAUUGACUUUUUUAUAUUUUUAUUUUGAUUAAAAAGUUUUUAUAUUAUUAAAUAUGUAUCUUAAACCCAAUACAGCGGCAAUUGAGUAUUUUUAAAAUUGAGAUUAUGUUGUAAUAUAUUAUAAAUAUGCUUUAACAUAUAAAUCGACCUAAUGUUUUUUUAUUCUUAUUAAUUAUGACUUAGAACAAUUUAACAAAUUGGGACCAGGAUGAGUUGAACAUCCGACCUCAGGUUUUCAGACA